AUAUGGUAGGAGAGCGUUCUGUAAGCCUGCGAAGGUGUCUUGUAAAGGAUGCUGGAGGUAUCAGAAGUGCGAAUGCUGACAUGAGUAGCGAUAAUGGGAGUGAAAAGCUCCCACGCCGUAAGCCCAAGGUUUCCUGUUCAACGUUCAUCGGAGCAGGGUGAGUCGGCCCCUAAGGCGAGGCAGAGAUGCGUAGCUGAUGGGAAGCAGGUUAAUAUUCCUGCACCGUCGUAUGAUGCGAUGGGGGGACGGAUCGCGGAAGGUUGUCCAACGGUUGGAAGUGUUGGUUUUUGACUCAUAGAAGGCGCUUAGGCAAAUCCGGGCGCGCAAUUCAAGGGGUCGAGACGAGAGACUUAGGUCUUGAAGCAAUCGGAAGUGGUUCCAAGAAAAGCCUCUAAGCUUCAGUCAUACGAGACCGUACCGCAAACCGACACAGGUGGGCGAGAUGAGUAUUCUAAGGCGCUUGAGAGAACUCGGGAGAAGGAACUCGGCAAAUUGGUACCGUAACUUCGGGAAAAGGUACGCCCCGGUAGCUUGACUGGUUUACUCCAGAAGGGUGAAAGGGUUGCAAUAAACUGGUGGCUGCGACUGUUUAAUAAAAACACAGCACUCUGCAAACACGAAAGUGGACGUAUAGGGUGUGACGCCUGCCCGGUGCUGGAAGAUUAAAUGAUGGGGUGCAAGCUCUUGAUUGAAGUCCCAGUAAACGGCGGCCGUAACUAUAACGGUCCUAAGGUAGCGAAAUUCCUUGUCGGGUAAGUUCCGACCUGCACGAAUGGCGUAACGAUGGCCACACUGUCUCCUCCCGAGACUCAGCGAAGUUGAAAUGUUUGUGAUGAUGCAAUCUACCCGCGGCUAGACGGAAAGACCCCAUGAACCUUUACUGUAGCUUUGCAUUGGACUUUGAACCAAUCUGUGUAGGAUAGGUGGGAGGCUUUGAAGCGGGGACGCCAGUCUUCGUGGAGCCAUCCUUGAAAUACCACCCUGGUUUGUUUGAGGUUCUAACCUUGGUCCGUUAUCCGGAUCGGGGACAGUGCAUGGUAGGCAGUUUGACUGGGGCGGUCUCCUCCUAAAGUGUAACGGAGGAGUUCGAAGGUACGCUAGAUACGGUCGGACAUCGUGUUGAUAGUGCAAUGGCAUAAGCGUGCUUAACUGCGAGACUGACAAGUCGAGCAGGUACGAAAGUAGGACAUAGUGAUCCGGUGGUUCUGUAUGGAAGGGCCAUCGCUCAACGGAUAAAAGGUACUCUGGGGAUAACAGGCUGAUUCCUCCCAAGAGUUCAUAUCGACGGGGGAGUUUGGCACCUCGAUGUCGGCUCAUCACAUCCUGGGGCUGUAGCCGGUCCCAAGGGUAUGGCUGUUCGCCAUUUAAAGUGGUACGUGAGCUGGGUUUAAAACGUCGUGAGACAGUUUGGUCCCUAUCUGCCGUGGGCGUUGGAAAUUUGAAGGGGGCUGCUCCUAGUACGAGAGGACCGGAGUGGACAGACCUCUGGUGUACCGGUUGUCACGCCAGUGGCAUUGCCGGGUAGCUAAGUCUGGAAGAGAUAACCGCUGAAAGCAUCUAAGCGGGAAACUUGCCUUGAGAUGAGAUUUCCCAGAGCCUUGAGCUCUUUAAAGGGUCGUUCGAGACCAGGACGUUGAUAGGUCAGGUGUGGAAGUGCAGUAAUGCAUUAAGCUAACUGAUACUAAUUGCCCGUACGGCUUGUCCCU
This 1706-nucleotide ribosomal RNA is filed under the name Massilia sp. DJPM01. RNAcentral describes it as "partial 23S ribosomal RNA". It matches the Rfam family "Bacterial large subunit ribosomal RNA", at positions 1223 to 2925 of the family's 2925-position model. The record is from RNAcentral. Lineage: Bacteria; Pseudomonadati; Pseudomonadota; Betaproteobacteria; Burkholderiales; Oxalobacteraceae.